This 301-nucleotide ribosomal RNA is filed under the name uncultured bacterium. RNAcentral describes it as "partial 16S ribosomal RNA". It matches the Rfam family "Bacterial small subunit ribosomal RNA", at positions 509 to 808 of the family's 1533-position model. The record is from RNAcentral.
CAGUGCCGCGGUAAUACGAAGGGGGCUAGCGUUGUUCGGAUUAACUGGGCGUAAAGGGCGCGUAGGCGGGUUUUUAAGUCAGGGGUGAAAUCCCAAGGCUCAACCUUGGAACUGCCUUUGAUACUGGAAAUCUUGAGUCCGGGAGAGGUGAGUGGAACUGCGAGUGUAGAGGUGAAAUCCGUAGAUAUUCGCAAGAACACCAGUGGCGAAGGCGGCUCACUGGCCCGGUACUGACGCUGAGGCGCGAAAGCGUGGGGAGCAAACAGGAUUAGAUACCCCUGUAGUCCCUGUCUCUUAUACA